RNAcentral lists this ribosomal RNA (483 nucleotides) under uncultured bacterium. RNAcentral's name for it is "partial 16S ribosomal RNA". It matches the Rfam family "Bacterial small subunit ribosomal RNA", at positions 28 to 523 of the family's 1533-position model. The record is from RNAcentral.
GACGAACGCUGGCGGCAUGCCUAACACAUGCAAGUCGAGCGAGUAGAUCCCUUCGGGGUGAAGCUAGCGGCGGACGGGUGAGUAACACGUGGGCAACCUGCCUCAUAGAGGGGAAUAGCCUUCCGAAAGGAAGAUUAAUACCGCAUAAGAUUGUAGCUUCGCAUGAAGCAGCAAUUAAAGGAGCAAUCCGCUAUGAGAUGGGCCCGCGGCGCAUUAGCUAGUUGGUGAGGUAACGGCUCACCAAGGCGACGAUGCGUAGCCGACCUGAGAGGGUGACCGGCCACACUGGGACUGAGAUACGGCCCAGACUCCUACGGGAGGCAGCAGUGGGGAAUAUUGCGCAAUGGGCGAAAGCCUGACGCAGCAACGCCGCGUGCGGGAUGAAGGCCUUCGGGUUGUAAACCGCUUUCAGCAGGGAAGAAGCGAAAGUGACGGUACCUGCAGAAGAAGCACCGGCUAACUACGUGCCAGCAGCCGCGGUAA